This 409-nucleotide ribosomal RNA is filed under the name Staphylococcus aureus. RNAcentral describes it as "partial 23S ribosomal RNA". It matches the Rfam family "Bacterial large subunit ribosomal RNA", at positions 1 to 403 of the family's 2925-position model. Lineage: Bacteria; Bacillati; Bacillota; Bacilli; Caryophanales; Staphylococcaceae. The record is from RNAcentral.
GAUUAAGUUAUUAAGGGCGCACGGUGGAUGCCUUGGCACUAGAAGCCGAUGAAGGACGUUACUAACGACGAUAUGCUUUGGGGAGCUGUAAGUAAGCUUUGAUCCAGAGAUUUCCGAAUGGGGAAACCCAGCAUGAGUUAUGUCAUGUUAUCGAUAUGUGAAUACAUAGCAUAUCAGAAGGCACACCCGGAGAACUGAAACAUCUUAGUACCCGGAGGAAGAGAAAGAAAAUUCGAUUCCCUUAGUAGCGGCGAGCGAAACGGGAAGAGCCCAAACCAACAAGCUUGCUUGUUGGGGUUGUAGGACACUCUAUACGGAGUUACAAAGGACGACAUUAGACGAAUCAUCUGGAAAGAUGAAUCAAAGAAGGUAAUAAUCCUGUAGUCGAAAAUGUUGUCUCUCUUGAGUG